RNAcentral lists this ribosomal RNA (390 nucleotides) under Picrasma javanica. Its description in RNAcentral is "eukaryotic LSU rRNA". The stretch from base 281 to 390 matches the Rfam family "Eukaryotic large subunit ribosomal RNA", at positions 1 to 110 of the family's 3401-position model. Lineage: Eukaryota; Viridiplantae; Streptophyta; Magnoliopsida; Sapindales; Simaroubaceae. The record is from RNAcentral.
GUCUUUGAACGCAAGUUGCGCCCCAAGCCGUUAGGCCGAGGGCACGUCUGCCUGGGUGUCACGCAUCGUCGCCCCCCUCGCACCCGCCUCCCCGAGGCGGAGCGGUCGGGCGGAAACUGGCCUCCCGUGCGCUCCCCGCGGGCGGUUGGCCGAAAUUCGAGUCCUCGGCGACGGUUGCCGCGACGAUCGGUGGUGAAAGCAAAGCCUCGAGCUCACGUCGCGCGCCGCCGUCCCCGGGCAAGGGCUCCCGGACCCCGAUGCGCCGAAGCGCUAGCACUUGCGACCCCAGGUCAGGCGGGACUACCCGCUGAGUUUAAGCAUAUCAAUAAGCGGAGGAAAAGAAACUUACCAGGAUUCCCUUAGUAACGGCGAGCGAACCGGGAAGAGCCC